Molecule: long non-coding RNA, 638 nt
Organism: Cyprinus carpio (common carp)
Lineage: Eukaryota; Metazoa; Chordata; Actinopteri; Cypriniformes; Cyprinidae
Exons: 3
Source: RefSeq, a predicted model, not a curated record
GGAAUCUAAAAGGAACAUGGCUGCAGGCGAGGAGCAGUCUUAAAACAGCCACUUCCAGCCAGUACACACAAAUAAACCUGAACGCUGAACUUCAAGAGAACCUCGUAAAAAGAGAAUUUUUGCAAUUAAAGUCACAAUGUGAGAAUCCUUUAUAUUGACUUUAAAAUCAAGCCAGUAAUAGACAAAACCGUUAAAGUGACAGAGCCUGGAGCGACUGUGUGCUGCUUUACAAUGAAAUGGCUUGUUUUCUCAUACUUUGCUGCUGACACAGUUGCCAUAUUAGAACAAAAUAAAUGGUUAGCGUCCUUGUUAUUAUCUCUCUUAAACCCAGUUGAACGGUCUGAACGCCUGCCAUUGUUCAGUCUCUGUGAUAAGGGGCAUGUGAUUCACCACUACGGCUCAGUAAAUGAAGGCUGGAGAUGAGCCACUGACAUGAAUACCCUGCCCUUGACUGAGCCGGGAUGCGAUCUCACGACUGCAUGUGAAAGCGCUCACUGGCACGGUGCCCGUCAGAUCGAGACGUCAGAGCCGCACACACUCACGCUGGCACGGGUCCCAUCGCUGCGUCCGCCCAUGCGAGGCCACCGGGCUGUGACGUUACAGAGGGAUAAUUUUGGGAUGACGCAUGCCGGUUCUCU